This 433-nucleotide ribosomal RNA is filed under the name uncultured bacterium. RNAcentral's name for it is "partial 16S ribosomal RNA". It matches the Rfam family "Bacterial small subunit ribosomal RNA", at positions 29 to 507 of the family's 1533-position model. The record is from RNAcentral.
AACGAACGCUGGCGGCAGGCUUAACACAUGCAAGUCGAGCGAGACCUUCGGGUCUAGCGGCGGACGGGUGAGUAACGCGUGGGAACGUGCCCUUCUCUACGGAAUAGCCCCGGGAAACUGGGAGUAAUACCGUAUACGCCCUUUGGGGGAAAGAUUUAUCGGAGAAGGAUCGGCCCGCGUUGGAUUAGGUAGUUGGUGGGGUAAUGGCCCACCAAGCCGACGAUCCAUAGCUGGUUUGAGAGGAUGAUCAGCCACACUGGGACUGAGACACGGCCCAGACUCCUACGGGAGGCAGCAGUGGGGAAUCUUAGACAAUGGGGGCAACCCUGAUCUAGCCAUGCCGCGUGAGUGAUGAAGGCCUUAGGGUUGUAAAGCUCUUUCAGCUGGGAAGAUAAUGACAGUACCAGCAGAAGAAGCCCCGGCUAACUCCGUG